RNAcentral lists this transfer RNA (93 nucleotides) under Puccinia sorghi. It matches the Rfam family "tRNA". From Rfam's summary of the family: Transfer RNA (tRNA) molecules are approximately 80 nucleotides in length. Their secondary structure includes four short double-helical elements and three loops (D, anti-codon, and T loops). The record is from Rfam by way of RNAcentral. Lineage: Eukaryota; Fungi; Basidiomycota; Pucciniomycetes; Pucciniales; Pucciniaceae.
GGACAUAUGGCCGAGUGGUCUAAGGCGCUAGCUUCAGGUUGUUCAACUAGAUUCGCUAGUCUUCGGGCGUGGGUUCGAAUCCCACUGUGUUCA